Molecule: ribosomal RNA, 274 nt
Filed under: uncultured bacterium
Lineage: Bacteria
Description: partial 16S ribosomal RNA
Rfam family: Bacterial small subunit ribosomal RNA
Source: RNAcentral
AUACGGAGGCUGCAAGCGUUAUCCGGAAUCAUUGGGUUUAAAGGGUCCGUAGGCGGACUAUUAAGUCAGAGGUGAAAUCCCACAGCUCAACUGUGGAACUGCCUUUGAUACUGGUAGUCUUGAGUUAUAUGGAAGUAGAUAGAAUGUGUAGUGUAGCGGUGAAAUGCAUAGAUAUUACACAGAAUACCGAUUGCGAAGGCAGUCUACUACGUAUAUACUGACGCUAAGGGACGAAAGCGUGGGGAGCGAACAGGAUUAGAAACCCUAGUAGUCC